This 345-nucleotide unclassified non-coding RNA is filed under the name soil metagenome. RNAcentral describes it as "partial contains 5.8S ribosomal RNA, internal transcribed spacer 2, and large subunit ribosomal RNA". The stretch from base 1 to 120 matches the Rfam family "5.8S ribosomal RNA", at positions 35 to 154 of the family's 154-position model. The record is from RNAcentral.
GAUGAAGAACGCAGCGAAAUGCGAUACGUAAUGUGAAUUGCAGAAUUCAGUGAAUCAUCGAGUCUUUGAACGCACAUUGCGCCCCCUGGUAUUCCGGGGGGCAUGCCUGUCCGAGCGUCAUUGCUGCCCUCAAGCACGGCUUGUGUGUUGGGCCUCCGUCCUCCUCCCGGGGGACGAGCCCGAAAGGCAGCGGCGGCACCGCGUCCGGUCCUCGAGCGUAUGGGGCUUCGUCACCCGCUCUUGUAGGCCCGGCCGGCGCUUGCCGACACAUCAAUCUUUUUUCCAGGUUGACCUCGGAUCAGGUAGGGAUACCCGCUGAACUUAAGCAUAUCAAUAAGCGGAGGA